Columba livia (rock pigeon) is the source of this 1894-nucleotide long non-coding RNA. RefSeq lists it as uncharacterized. NCBI's taxonomy places the organism in Eukaryota, Metazoa, Chordata, Aves, Columbiformes, Columbidae. The transcript is spliced from 3 exons. The record is from RefSeq and is a predicted model, not a curated record.
CCCAGUUCCUUCCGGCCAUGGGGUUUCGCCGCCCGCUCCCGCCGUACCGUAUACCCCCAUCCUACUCGCCUCAGGUGUUACCAUCACAUGAGCACACCACAGCGUUACAGAAGGAUUCCAUGGCUUCUAUGUAAUCAUUGGAUCCUCCUUCGUAUCAGCCUGUCUCCUGCGACUAACUACAUUCCACUUUACAUCAAACCACCAUUUUGGAUUUGAAGCAGCAGCCUGAUACCAACGUUUUGUAGACGUCAUCUGAUUAUUCCUCUACGUAACUAUCUAUUGGUGAGGAUCCUGCUCUUCUAGCAUAUUAAUUACAAUCAACUUACAAUCCUUAAAAUCUGGUGUAACCCCAGAGAAGAGCAAUUAACAUAAUCACAUUCAUACUCACCUUAUCCCUCAUUUUAUGUAUUCUCCUAACCACAUUAAACUACUGGCUCAUCAGGAAGCAUUGAUCACAGUAACAUCUUGCAAGUUCAGAAUAAAGGCCAGACCCACAAGAAGCUGGAGUUACCCCUUAAAAUAGGAUUACAGGAAAACUGGAUGUACCUCCUGGAAGAAAGAAAAGCGUUAAGUUGGUUUCCAAAGGGAGUAAAGCUUCUCCGACUGCACUUGACGUGUGGUUGUAUGCUUCUCACUCAUUUGAACUUCUGUGUUCCUCUUCCCUACCAGAACUUCAAUGCUUUGCAGCUGAUUCUAGUGAAAUUUGUCAAAGGUUUUAAGAAUCUCAAAGGUGAAGUUGCUAAGUAUCAAUUUCAGGAGUGUGGGUGUCCAAACUGGAGGAGACAAAUGCUCAGCUCUGCCUGAACCGAAGGAAAGGUUGCAAAGUGAAUUCAAGCAGUAUUAAAGGAAAAGCCACACAGAGGCAGUCUUUAUAGACAGCAUGACAAAACCUUCACAGUUUGCAAUCAACCACAAACCACAAAUCUGCGGGAGGCUGGACUUCAGUCAAAUAACUGCUUCUGUAAAGCCCUUGCCCGCUGCAGGGACUGUGUCCAACUGAAGUACAUGAAAAAUGGAACCAUCGUGAGCUGUUCCUGUUUCUGUCAGUACACAGGUCCAGCUCAAAAAGGAAAGAGAGGAAAGAGAAGGGGGAGAGGAAAAAGACGAGAGUCUUUGCCUCGAUCUGACAGGUAAGAGGAGUCCCACUUCUGUUACUUACUCCUUCAGGAUGUUUCUUCCCUAAUACAUUUACAAGUCCCAUAUGCCAGGGAAACAGACCAGUGUUGGGGCCAUAUCUGGGUUGUGUAUCUGCUAAGUUGUAAGAAAAGGGAUCUUACAACCAGCUCUACCAAAAACAUGUUUUAGAGGAAACCUUCAUUACAAGCAAGUGAGGUGAUAAGGGGGAAAUGCCCUCAUGUUUUCCAGUAGCAUCCAGCACAGUCUUAAAGCAAAUCCCUUAACUUGAUGUUAUUCAUAAAGGAGAAUUUUUCUUCCCAGCACACAUUAGUGUCCCUGGGAAGAAAGAAGGGUUUGUAAUCCGGCCUGGAGUCACUAGGUCUAUACUGUGCCUUUUGUGUACCCAGUGAGCUAUAUGGUCACCUUGGCAAGUGGUGAUGAAGCUGUGUGACCACUGACACCUUGUCUGGGCAGUCUCUUGUAGGAGUCUGUAGCUUUUUGUGCCACGCUGCUCCAGACAUAUCAGAGCUGAUUGCAUGAAUAAGGGGGCAAGGAAGGUAAGGAAAGGUUUUUAAAUCGGGACAUUUUCCUGCUACAGUCUAAACCAAGAGUAGUUAUCAAAUUAAUUCAUAAACACCACCAGCAACAAACAAUUGUUUGUUGCUUCCAGAUUAAACAGAAUUCAGACCAGUGAUCAAGAGGCAAAGGGUAUCUCACUCAUUAACAACCCUGUGAGCCAUCAGUUUCCCAAGAGCACUAGGUUUUUAUGGAAUGCCAG